GACGAACGCUGGCGGCGUGCUUAACACAUGCAAGUCGAACGGUGAACCUCUUCGGAGGGGAUCAGUGGCGAACGGGUGAGUAACACGUGGGCAACCUGCCCCCGGCUCUGGGAUAACCCCAAGAAAUUGGGGCUAAUACCGGAUGUUCACCGCUUCCCGCAUGGGUGGUGGUGGAAAGGGUUUCCGGCUGGGGAUGGGCCCGCGGCCUAUCAGCUUGUUGGUGGGGUAGUGGCCUACCAAGGCGACGACGGGUAGCCGGCCUGAGAGGGUGACCGGCCACACUGGGACUGAGACACGGCCCAGACUCCUACGGGAGGCAGCAGUGGGGAAUAUUGCGCAAUGGGCGGAAGCCUGGCGCAGCGACGCCGCGUGGGGGAUGACGGCCUUCGGGUUGUAAACCUCUUUCAGCAGGGACGAAGCGCAAGUGACGGUACCUGCAGAAGAAGCACCGGCCAACUACGUG
RNAcentral lists this ribosomal RNA (463 nucleotides) under uncultured bacterium. RNAcentral's name for it is "partial 16S ribosomal RNA". It matches the Rfam family "Bacterial small subunit ribosomal RNA", at positions 28 to 507 of the family's 1533-position model. The record is from RNAcentral.